UUGUCUCGUUCAGGGAGGCCUCAUCAUCAUCAUCCAGCCAUCAGCUGCUACCAGUAACAGGAUUCAGUGCUUUUAUGUUUCCUGUCUGUCUCUUUUGUGUCUCUGUUGUUAUUGAUUUAUUUGAUUACUUAUUAUUGAUGAAUCUCACUGUGGCGUUAUUGUUUGCAUAUAAACGUACCACAAAUGAGACUACGAGCCCGUAUGUGUAAUAACUGCACCUGCUGCUUUGCUUUCAUUAACGUGAACGUGAACCUGAGUGAGACUCAUCUGUACGGACGGCAGAGUGAACUUUGACCUCAGCGCCUCCAUCUUGCCCAGGGCUCCUGCGUGUUCGGUCUGAAGCUGCUCGAGCCGCUGCCUGCAGUCCUUCUGCUCCGCCUGCAGCUGCUGGCACUUCUCUGUGAGCUGCUCCACCACCUGAUGGAGAGAGUUGGCCCCGCAGGGCGGCAUUCUCCUCCAUCAGGAUCUGCACCUGCUCCGACAGCUGCCCCACGCGAGCUUUCACCUCCGCGUUCUCCUGCAGCGCCAGCCUGGUCGUCUCCGGGACUUUCUGGUCCACCAGGAGCUGCACCUCUGCUGCCAUGGCUGCAGCGUGAGACUCCAUCUCCCUCUCCAAUCUUUGGCAGGACACAAGACAAAGGAGGAAAAGUCAGAGCGUACUUUAGGUGGAUAAUUCAGGUUCAGAGCUUCAAAGGAACACGACCCUUGGUGGGACGAGGAUGACAUAAAGGAAAAAACAUUAGUGCUACAGAGGCAGGAUCAACAUGUCGUCCUGAAGACAAGCUGCGAGUUGCUGCGAUGACACGGAUUUGUUUACAGUCUGAACUUAAACUACUUUCUACGAGUGGACUCGACCCGGGUAAUGGAACGAGUCUGUGCUGUGAUUUUUAAAGUGGAUUCCACCUCCUCU
Molecule: long non-coding RNA, 910 nt
Organism: Haplochromis burtoni (Burton's mouthbrooder)
Lineage: Eukaryota; Metazoa; Chordata; Actinopteri; Cichliformes; Cichlidae
Exons: 3
Source: RefSeq, a predicted model, not a curated record